AAUAAGAGGUCCCGCCUGCCCUGUGACUAUAUGUUUAACGGCCGCGGUAUUUUGACCGUGCGAAGGUAGCGCAAUCACUUGUCUUUUAAAUGGAGACCUGUAUGAAUGGCAUAACGAGGGCUUAGCUGUCUCCUUUUUCAAGUCAAUGAAAUUGAUCUCCCCGUGCAGAAGCGGGGAUAACACCAUAAGACGAGAAGACCCUAUGGAGCUUUAGACACCAAGGCAGAUCAUGUUAAACACCCCUUCACAAAGGACUAAACCAGAUGAACCCUGCCCUAAUGUCUUUGGUUGGGGCGACCGCGGGGAAACAGAAAACCCCCACGUGGAAUGGGAACACUCCUUCCUACAACUAAGAGCUCCCGCUCUAAUGACCAGAACUUCUGACCAAUUAGAUCCGGCAACGCCGAUCAACGAACCGAGUUACCCUAGGGAUAACAGCGCAAUCCCCUUUUAGAGCCCAUAUCGACAAGGGGGUUUACGACCUCGAUGUUGGAUCAGGACAUCCUAAUGGUGCAGCCGCUAUUAAGGGUUCGUUUGUUCAACGAUUAAAGUCCU
This 555-nucleotide ribosomal RNA is filed under the name Kyphosus vaigiensis (brassy chub). RNAcentral's name for it is "partial 16S ribosomal RNA". It matches the Rfam family "Bacterial large subunit ribosomal RNA", at positions 1844 to 2597 of the family's 2925-position model. The record is from RNAcentral. Lineage: Eukaryota; Metazoa; Chordata; Actinopteri; Centrarchiformes; Kyphosidae.